CCUCAAAUAAAGAAAAUUGGACCAGGAUGUGCAGAGGUGUUAACGAGCUAAUCAUCCCGUUUGUUAGCAUAUGAAAAACGAGGAAAUGGGAGAGUGUGGGUGAAUGUGAACAAGCUAUUCACAACACUGAAGCUGCCUCUGAAUGAACUCCAAAGGUCCCGAAGAGAGAUUGGUGAAGGUGACAAGAUCACCAGGAAAGGGUCACCCACUGACAACGGUCCCAAGCAGUAUUAACCGAGGAGUCUGGAAUUUGAACAGAUGAAUUCCAGCCCAGAAAGCACGGUUCGCAUGGUACAGUUUGCCUUCUGAGACUAAAACAAACACAGCCAUUCGCUAAUAGGAGUUGUGGUUUAUAUUUACGUCUUGGUUUAUUCCGUUGCGUUCGAGUCCAAAUUCAAGCGUUGUUCAAAUAAUUUACUGCCCUCUGGGCUGCUCCUAAAAUGUAGUCCUAUCAAUUAUCUUGCUCGAUAAUAUUUUUACAAAUAAAUACAUGUAGCGGUGUAAUUAAGCGUUCUUUGAAAAUUGUUACUGUUUGGACAAUUCACGCUAUUUCUGCAAUCAUUUAAAAAAAUAAAGACAACCUUCGAACACCCUUUAAUUAUAACAACAAAAAGGAAAUGACAUUUGUUUUAAGCAUGAUGUGCAUAUUCAACUUUCAUCCGUUAUCUGUAUUCUGUGUUACUUCAACUUGAAAUAAAUAGCUCAGCGAAUUCAGAACAA
Amblyraja radiata (thorny skate) is the source of this 720-nucleotide long non-coding RNA. RefSeq lists it as uncharacterized. The record is from RefSeq and is a predicted model, not a curated record. The transcript has 2 exons. Lineage: Eukaryota; Metazoa; Chordata; Chondrichthyes; Rajiformes; Rajidae.